AAAUGUCCAAAAAGAACAACAAAGGCAGGCGAUAUUAACGAGAAACAAAAAUCAGCUCACUUGAUUCUUACUAGUUCGAACUAGGUAAUCUUCAUCAAGAAUCUCUAAGCUGCAGUGAACAAGAACAAAUUCCAUCAAGAAUUUCUAAGCUGCAGUGAACAAGAAACAAAAAGUUGAAUGAAGAAGAACAAAUUUCAUCAAGAAUUUCUAAGCAAAGCUAGAUCGAACUGGGUAAUUUUCUUGCUGAUCUGUUUUCUACGUUCCACUACAGACCAAUGAUAGAUCUCAUCUCAAGAGUUGAACGGAUUCAACUACAAAUUGCCUAAGUUUUCAUCGCAAGCUCUAAUUCACUGCAGUGAUUUGAUAUAUGGAGUAUUUCUUAGAGCAAAUAAGGUCUUUAAUCUUUCAAGAGUAUAACAACUCAUGGACUGCAUCUCAUAUAUACAGAAAGACCCACAUCGUGUUGCUGGGUAUGUCUUCAUCCCCAUUCACCCCUCUUUUGUUCAAUUAAUCAUUGCAUGUGUUGCUUGUUUUUGCUGAUGUACUUAGCUUGUUGUAGAUUUCAUGCUUGUUUCAAUUCCUACAUAUUAUUACAUUUUUAGUAUUUUAAUUUCAUCAAUUUAAAGAUUGGGUUUUGUUUUUGUCUUCAUUUUUGGUAAAUAAAAAAGAAUCUUACAAGAAUUGUACAAAUACUUCAAAUAAAAAUUGGAAAAAUUCAUUAUAUUUGAAAGAAAAAUAAAAAGUUGAAAAGAAGAGAAAAAAAAGCAAAACUUUUCCGCUAAACUCCCCACCUCCCUAAAUUACAGAGACUUUCACCACUAUUCAGUUUUUUUCUCUAAUUUCUGCCCACGUUCAGUAUCAGUACUUUAUCUAAAUCAUUUUCAUUUUCAUCUCAUUUUAAAGAUUGUCUCCGAC
RNAcentral lists this long non-coding RNA (915 nucleotides) under Solanum tuberosum (potato). Its description in RNAcentral is "long non-coding RNA (STUB_LNC010809)". The record is from RNAcentral. Lineage: Eukaryota; Viridiplantae; Streptophyta; Magnoliopsida; Solanales; Solanaceae.